This 265-nucleotide ribosomal RNA is filed under the name uncultured archaeon. RNAcentral describes it as "partial 16S ribosomal RNA". It matches the Rfam family "Archaeal small subunit ribosomal RNA", at positions 718 to 982 of the family's 1478-position model. The record is from RNAcentral.
AGUCACUGACAUUAGAUACCCCGGUAGUCCCAGCCCUAAACGAUGCGCGUUAGGUGUAUCGGUGACCACGAGUCACCGAGGUGCCGAAGGGAAACCGUGAAACGUGCCGCCUGGGAAGUACGGUCGCAAGGCUGAAACUUAAAGGAAUUGGCGGGGGAGCACCACAACGGGUGGAGCUUGCGGUUUAAUUGGAUUCAACGCCGGAAAUCUUACCGGGACCGACAGCAACAUGAAGGCCAGGCUGAAGACUUUGCCGGAUUAGCUG